UGCAUCUGCGGCCCGAAGAGGAUGAGAACCUCCGGGGGGAGGUUCGACUCGAGCGUAGCGAGAGAACGUUGCGUCA
Molecule: small RNA, 76 nt
Filed under: Klebsiella aerogenes
Lineage: Bacteria; Pseudomonadati; Pseudomonadota; Gammaproteobacteria; Enterobacterales; Enterobacteriaceae
Description: partial RtT sRNA
Rfam family: RtT RNA
About the family: This family represents a bacterial cis-regulatory element known as RtT RNA. The exact function of RtT is unknown although it is thought that it may be involved in changing the cellular response in relation to amino acid starvation.
Source: RNAcentral